UACGUAGGGGGCAAGCGUUGUCCGGAUUUAUUGGGCGUAAAGAGCGUGUAGGCGGCUUGGUAGGUCCGCUGUGAAAACUCGAGGCUCAACCUCGAGAUGUCGGCGGAAACCAUCUGGCUAGAGUCCGGAAGAGGAGAGUGGAAUUCCUGGUGUAGCGGUGAAAUGCGCAGAUAUCAGGAAGAACACCUAUGGCGAAGGCAGCUCUCUGAGACGGUACUGACGCUGAGACGCGAAAGCGUGGGGAGCGAACAGG
RNAcentral lists this ribosomal RNA (253 nucleotides) under uncultured bacterium. Its description in RNAcentral is "partial 16S ribosomal RNA". It matches the Rfam family "Bacterial small subunit ribosomal RNA", at positions 524 to 776 of the family's 1533-position model. The record is from RNAcentral.